This 468-nucleotide ribosomal RNA is filed under the name uncultured bacterium. RNAcentral describes it as "partial 16S ribosomal RNA". It matches the Rfam family "Bacterial small subunit ribosomal RNA", at positions 28 to 507 of the family's 1533-position model. The record is from RNAcentral.
GACGAACGCUGGCGGCGUGCUUAACACAUGCAAGUCGAACGGAAAGGCCCUGCUUUUGUGGGGUGCUCGAGUGGCGAACGGGUGAGUAACACGUGAGUAACCUGCCCUUGACUUUGGGAUAACUUCAGGAAACUGGGGCUAAUACCGGAUAGGAGCUCCUGCUGCAUGGUGGGGGUUGGAAAGUUUCGGCGGUUGGGGAUGGACUCGCGGCUUAUCAGCUUGUUGGUGGGGUAGUGGCUUACCAAGGCUUUGACGGGUAGCCGGCCUGAGAGGGUGACCGGCCACAUGGGGACUGAGAUACGGCCCAGCCUCCUACGGGAGGCAGCAGGGGGGAAUAUGGCACAAUGGGCGGAAGCCUGAUGCAGAAACGCCGCGUGCGGGAUGACGGCCUUCGGGUUGUAAACCGCUUUCGCCUGUGACGAAGCGGGAGUGACGGUAAUGGGUAAAGAAGCACCGGCUAACUACGUG